This 563-nucleotide ribosomal RNA is filed under the name uncultured bacterium. Its description in RNAcentral is "bacterial SSU rRNA". It matches the Rfam family "Bacterial small subunit ribosomal RNA", at positions 338 to 916 of the family's 1533-position model. The record is from RNAcentral.
CCUACGGGGAGGCAGCAGUGGGGAAUAUUGGACAAUGGGCGAAAGCCUGAUCCAGCAAUGCCGCGUGGGUGAAGAAGGUCUUCGGAUCGUAAAGCCCUUUCGACGGGGACGAUGAUGACGGUACCCGUAGAAGAAGCCCCGGCUAACUUCGUGCCAGCAGCCGCGGUAAUACGAAGGGGGCUAGCGUUGCUCGGAAUUACUGGGCGUAAAGGGCGCGUAGGCGGCGGCCCAAGUCAGGCGUGAAAUUCCUGGGCUCAACCUGGGGACUGCGCUUGAUACUGGGUUGCUUGAGGAUGGAAGAGGCUCGUGGAAUUCCCAGUGUAGAGGUGAAAUUCGUAGAUAUUGGGAAGAACACCGGUGGCGAAGGCGGCGAGCUGGUCCAUUACUGACGCUGAGGCGCGACAGCGUGGGGAGCAAACAGGAUUAGAUACCCUGGUAGUCCACGCCGUAAACGAUGUGCGCUGGAUGUUGGGGCCCAUAGGGUCUCAGUGUCGUAGCCAACGCGGUAAGCGCACCGCCUGGGGAGUACGGCCGCAAGGUUGAAACUCAAAGGAAAUUGACGG